GACGAACGCUGGCGGCGUGCCUAAUACAUGCAAGUCGAGCGGAUCUUGUCCUUCGGGAUAAGGUUAGCGGCGGACGGGUGAGUAACACGUAGGCAACCUGCCCUCGAGACUGGGAUAACCUCCGGAAACGGAUGCUAAUACCAGAUACGCGAUCUUCCCUCCUGGGGAGAUCGGGAAAGACGGAGCAAUCUGUUACUCGGGGAUGGGCCUGCGGCGCAUUAGCUAGUUGGUGAGGUAACGGCUCACCAAGGCGACGAUGCGUAGCCGACCUGAGAGGGUGAUCGGCCACACUGGGACUGAGACACGGCCCAGACUCCUACGGGAGGCAGCAGUAGGGAAUCUUCCGCAAUGGACGAAAGUCUGACGGAGCAACGCCGCGUGAGUGAGGAAGGCCUUCGGGUCGUAAAGCUCUGUUGCCAGGGAAGAACGCUUGGGAGAGUAACUGCUCCCAAGGUGACGGACCUGAGAAGAAAGCCC
RNAcentral lists this ribosomal RNA (477 nucleotides) under Paenibacillus sp. oral taxon E29. Its description in RNAcentral is "bacterial SSU rRNA". It matches the Rfam family "Bacterial small subunit ribosomal RNA", at positions 28 to 493 of the family's 1533-position model. Lineage: Bacteria; Bacillati; Bacillota; Bacilli; Caryophanales; Paenibacillaceae. The record is from RNAcentral.